RNAcentral lists this ribosomal RNA (499 nucleotides) under uncultured bacterium. RNAcentral describes it as "bacterial SSU rRNA". It matches the Rfam family "Bacterial small subunit ribosomal RNA", at positions 23 to 518 of the family's 1533-position model. The record is from RNAcentral.
CUCAGGAUGAACGCUGGCGGCAGGCUAAUACAUGCAAGUCGAACGGUAACGACCGGUAGCAAUACUGGGGCGACGAGUGGCGCACGGGUGCGUAACGCGUAUGCAACCUGCCCUCAACCGGGACACAACGCCGAGAAAUUGGCGCUAAUAUCCCAUGUGUACAGGAGACGGCAUCGUUUUCUAUAUAAAGAUUUAUUGGUUGAGGAUGGGCAUGCGUAACAUUAGCUAGUUGGCGGGUAACGGCUCACCAAGGCGACGAUGUUUAGGGGUUCUGAGAGGAUUCACCCCCACACUGGAACUGAGACACGGUCCAGACUCCUACGGGAGGCAGCAGUAGGGAAUAUUGGGCAAUGGAGGCAACUCUGACCCAGCCAUGCCGCGUGAAGGAAGACGGCCCUAUGGGUUGUAAACUUCUUUGCCGCAGAGUAACCGCGGGGACGUGUCCCUGCCUGAGAGUAUGCGGCGAAUAAGUAUCGGCUAACUCCGUGCCAGCCGCGGC